GCUAUACAUGCAAGUCGAGCGGACAGAUGGGAGCUUGCUCCCUGAUGUUAGCGGCGGACGGGUGAGUAACACGUGGGUAACCUGCCUGUAAGACUGGGAUAACUCCGGGAAACCGGGGCUAAUACCGGAUGCUUGUUUGAACCGCAUGGUUCAAACAUAAAAGGUGGCUUCGGCUACCACUUACAGAUGGACCCGCGGCGCAUUAGCUAGUUGGUGAGGUAACGGCUCACCAAGGCAACGAUGCGUAGCCGACCUGAGAGGGUGAUCGGCCACACUGGGACUGAGACACGGCCCAGACUCCUACGGGAGGCAGCAGUAGGGAAUCUUCCGCAAUGGACGAAAGUCUGACGGAGCAACGCCGCGUGAGUGAUGAAGGUUUUCGGAUCGUAAAGCUCUGUUGUUAGGGAAGAACAAGUACCGUUCGAAUAGGGCGGCACCUUGACGGUACCUAACCAGAAAGCCACGGCUAACUACGUGCCAGCAGCCGCGGUAAUACGUAGGUGGCAAGCGUUGUCCGGAAUUAUUGGGCGUAAAGGGCUCGCAGGCGGUUCCUUAAGUCUGAUGUGAAAGCCCCCGGCUCAACCGGGGAGGGUCAUUGGAAACUGGGGAACUUGAGUGCAGAAGAGGAGAGUGGAAUUCCACGUGUAGCGGUGAAAUGCGUAGAGAUGUGGAGGAACACCAGUGGCGAAGGCGACUCUCUGGUCUGUAACUGACGCUGAGGAGCGAAAGCGUGGGGAGCGAACAGGAUUAGAUACCCUGGUAGUCCACGCCGUAAACGAUGAGUGCUAAGUGUUAGGGGGUUUCCGCCCCUUAGUGCUGCAGCUAACGCAUUAAGCACUCCGCCUGGGGAGUACGGUCGCAAGACUGA
This 868-nucleotide ribosomal RNA is filed under the name Bacillus sp. (in: firmicutes). Its description in RNAcentral is "bacterial SSU rRNA". It matches the Rfam family "Bacterial small subunit ribosomal RNA", at positions 48 to 897 of the family's 1533-position model. Lineage: Bacteria; Bacillati; Bacillota; Bacilli; Caryophanales; Bacillaceae. The record is from RNAcentral.